Molecule: transfer RNA, 75 nt
Filed under: Roseovarius nubinhibens ISM
Lineage: Bacteria; Pseudomonadati; Pseudomonadota; Alphaproteobacteria; Rhodobacterales; Roseobacteraceae
Description: tRNA-Thr(ggt)
Rfam family: tRNA
About the family: Transfer RNA (tRNA) molecules are approximately 80 nucleotides in length. Their secondary structure includes four short double-helical elements and three loops (D, anti-codon, and T loops). Further hydrogen bonds mediate the characteristic L-shaped molecular structure. tRNAs have two regions of fundamental functional importance: the anti-codon, which is responsible for specific mRNA codon recognition, and the 3' end, to which the tRNAs corresponding amino acid is attached (by aminoacyl-tRNA synthetases). tRNAs cope with the degeneracy of the genetic code in two manners: having more than one tRNA (with a specific anti-codon) for a particular amino acid; and 'wobble' base-pairing, i.e. permitting non-standard base-pairing at the 3rd anti-codon position.
Source: RNAcentral
GCCGCUGCAGCUCGGUGGUAGAGCGCACCCUUGGUAAGGGAGAGGUCGGGAGUUCAAUCCUCCCCGGCAGCACCA